Molecule: ribosomal RNA, 697 nt
Filed under: uncultured bacterium
Lineage: Bacteria
Description: bacterial SSU rRNA
Rfam family: Bacterial small subunit ribosomal RNA
Source: RNAcentral
ACCUACCCUUGAGUUGGGGAUAGCCGUUAGAAAUAGCGGAUAAUACCGAAUACGCUCAUGACCCUGUGGGGAUAUGAGGAAACAGGCUACGGCCUGGCUCGAGGAUGGGCCCGCGUCCCAUUAGCUAGUUGGUGUGGUAAUGGCAUACCAAGGCGACGAUGGGUAUCCGGCCUGAGAGGGUGUACGGACACAUUGGGACUGAGAUACGGCCCAAACUCCUACGGGAGGCAGCAGCUAAGAAUAUUCCGCAAUGGACGAAAGUCUGACGGAGCGACGCCGCGUGGAUGAAUAAGGCCGAAAGGUUGUAAAGUCCUUUUGCUGAUGAAGAAUAAGCGUGGUAGGGAAUGACCGCGUGAUGACAUUAGUCGGUGAAUAAGCCCCGGCUAACUACGUGCCAGCAGCCGCGGUAACACGUAGGGGGCAAGCGUUGUUCGGAAUUAUUGGGCGUAAAGGGCAUGUAGGCGGUUUGGUAAGCCUGAUGUGAAAUCCUGCAGCUUAACUGUAGAAUUGCAUUGGGUACUGCCGAACUUGAAUCACUGAGGGGAAACUAGAAUUCCAGGUGUAGGGGUGGAAUCUGUAGAUAUCUGGAAGAAUACCGGUGGCGAAGGCGGGUUUCUAGCAGAUGAUUGACGCUGAGGUGCGAAAGUGCGGGGAGCGAACAGGAUUAGAUACCCUGGUAGUCCGCACCGUAAACGAU